Molecule: ribosomal RNA, 468 nt
Filed under: uncultured bacterium
Lineage: Bacteria
Description: partial 16S ribosomal RNA
Rfam family: Bacterial small subunit ribosomal RNA
Source: RNAcentral
GACGAACGCUGGCGGCGUGCUUAACACAUGCAAGUCGAACGGAAAGGCCCUGCUUUUGUUGGGUGCUCGAGUGGCGAACGGGUGAAUAACACGUGAGUAACCUGCCCUUAUCUUUGGGAUAACUUCUGGAAACUGGGGCUCUUACCGGAUAUGAUCUCCUGCUCCAUGUUGGGGGUUGGAAAGUUUCGGCGGUUGGGGAUGGACUCGCGGCUUAUCCGCUUGUUGGUGGGGUAGUGGCUUACCAAGGCUUUGACGGGUAGCCGGCCUGAGAGGGUGACCGGCCACAUUGGGACUGAGAUACGGCCCAGACUCCUACGGGAGGCAGCAGUGGGGAAUAUUGCACAAUGGGCGGAAGCCUGAUGCAGCAACGCCGCGUGCGGGAUGACGGCCUUCGGGUUGUAAACCGCUGUCGCCUGUGACGAAGCGUGAGUGACGGUAAUGGGUAAAGAAGCACCGGCUAACUACGUG